GGGUGAGGGGGGUGCAAGGCGCCAGCUUUUGCUUUGUCUUCAGCCAGCCUCGUGCUCCCUCAUCACCUGCACAGCAUGUAGGAAGGUCUCAGUAGGUGGUGAAAUCUUCAGCCCUUUCUUUCAAGAGACAUUGCCCAGACAGAAUGCUCAUUUUAUUUAUUGCUUCAUUCACUCAACAAAUAUUUAUGGAGCACUGCCAGUUCGUGAGAAUCCAUAUUGGAUAUUAGGAAUUUAAAGACAGGUAAGACUCAGACUGAUUCCUCUAAUGGCUCACACCCUAGCAUGGAGACAGCAGGUGCCGUGAGUGGUAUCAUAGAGGUAGAAGUUAUAUAUUAUAGUCUGGGAGCAUAGAGGAGUGCAUAACUAAGAAUUCAUUUGAGAAAAGUUCAGAAAACACUCUGGAGGUGAUGGAAUUUGAGAUGAAGCUUAAAAGACUAGAUGCAAUGAAUUGAAGAUGGGACUGGAAUGGAAGAUGGGAAAAAGAUUCUUGGAUGUGAUUUCAAUUAAUGGACCUUGUAGGAAAUGGAAGCCAUUCAUAAGAUAGCUGAAUUAUCUCCAGACUUAAAAUUCUUUUGAAAGUUUUUAUUUUUAUUAUGUAUUUAUUCAGAAGAUGAGUUUAUUUUAAAAUAUAGAGAGAAACAAAACAGGAAACAUGGAGACAAGGAUAAAGAAUAAGAAGGAGCUGCCAGAAAAUUAUGAGGCAAAUGAACAAACAAAAAUGGGCCAGGACAACCAAGGGAGGAGAGUUUCAAGUAAAAGGUUGAUGAUAGCAGUGUCAUAUAUUAUAGAGGUCAGUUGGGAAUUUCUAUGUUCUAGGCAUGUUAUAAGCUCCUUAUAUGUACUAACUCAGUCAUCCAAGAACCCUUUGCUGUUUAAUCCUCUCAACAACCCCAUCUUACGGAUGAGGGAAAUGAAGUAGAAGGAAGUGAAGUGUUUUGUGUAAGAUCGCGCUGCUGGUAACAACCAACAGUAUAUUUUAAAAAAUCAUGGAGUUGAUGGGCCAACAGUUCCAAGAGUACAGCAUUGCUGUUCUUCAUCUCUUGAUUUCCUAGAGCAGCUCAGAUCUUCUCACUGAAAUACACCCAAGCAAGAGGAAAAUGAACAAGUCACACAGAAGUUGGGAAGAGAAAGACAGCUGUCAAUUAGCCUACAUCCAAAUCUGGGCUGAGGAGGAACAAAGAGCUGCCUGAAGAAAUGAGUAUCUGGAACAAACCACAGAGAUCAAGAUGGCCACUGGCCAAUGGAACCAGCUGCCUGGGUCCACAUUCACGAGCCCCCUCCAUGGGCACCACUGAGGUGCAGCGAGGACAGCAGAGCUGCUGGGCGCAGUCAUUACAACUUCAGGAAAGGGGAAGGAGAUCACUCUUCAGACAUGGUCCUCAUGCUUCUGUGCUCCUUCGUGGCCUUCUCCCAGUUCAUGUGGUUGAAUCCCUCAGCGACCACACUCCACACAGUGUCCUCCAGGCGGUGUGGGGCGAUUCCAGGGCCUCCAGGGUGGGAGCAGGGCAUGUAAGAGCUUUGAAGGACACCACUCUUAACAGAAGUGUGAUGAGAGAAAAACUCUCCGGAGACCUCAUACACAUGGGAAGCCGUUUUAUUUUUUUAUUUUAUU
Molecule: long non-coding RNA, 1612 nt
Organism: Mustela erminea (ermine)
Lineage: Eukaryota; Metazoa; Chordata; Mammalia; Carnivora; Mustelidae
Exons: 3
Source: RefSeq, a predicted model, not a curated record